GCACGGGCCCUCGAACGACCAGAAGAGGGAGGGCACAGGAAGCCCAGGGCUCCACACUGUCAGCAGUGGCCCCGCCUUCGCCACCUAGGCUGCAGGCAGUGGCAGUCACACAUUGCUUUUCUGGACUGGGAUCCCACCAUGGUGUAGAUCCUGGAGCCUGUGAAGCCGGGCGCUGCUGGGACUGGACCAGACUCGAAGCAGGAUGGUGGGACAGGUCCAACUGGCGGUGAAUUCCUGACAGCUGUGAGCCGAGAAGGCAGGGGACAGUUCGGACACCUGCACUAGACAUCCAGCCAGCAGGCUGGAAGGAAGUGUCAAUGGUGGAUGACCACAGAGGUGACAGGUCAGGAGGGAGAACCUGAUUGGCACAUAAGGUGGUGAGUCCCUUGUCUCUGGAAGAAGCCAAUGGGGUGUGCAGCCAGCACAGUUGUCCCAUACGAAGUCAAGAGUUCCGUUUGAGGGCCCAGGUUCAUGACCUUCUUCCAGUGGAAUGAACAUGCCUGUCUUCCUGGGUAACAGUCACAAAUUUUAUUUGAGGAUGCUGAAACAGAGAUGUGACUUCUGAGGUCCCUUGGCCCCCAGAUGAAUCCAAGGGAGACACAACUCAGACUGCAACCUCAGAGACUAUUGUUUGUCAUAGGCAAGUGAAUGGAGCUUGUCCCCGAAGCUUUCAGAGGUGUGCUCGAUGUACCUAGAAGGACAGGCAGCCUCAGCCUCUGGAAGAGGAGAAGUGGAGGGUGAUCAAGGCAUAGUGCGCAAGGCAGAACUUCAUGAGAAAUGCCAGGUCAGCAGGCAGGGGGCUUCGGCAGCUACUGAGAGUGUUUUCUCUUGUAGCGCCCCUGGAGGGGACCAUCCCCCACUCACUUGCUCUGGCUGGUUUCCAGCAGAGCUCCCCAUUGAGCCGGGGGACUUUAAUUUCAUGCUCUAACAUUAGUGUAGGUGCAAUGGGAGAUGCUCUGGAGCCCUGGGAAGUCAGGGUGGCUUCUAGCGCACCAAAGGCCAUGGCCGCCAACCUUCCCACCAGGGACAGCUCUGGCUUUCUCCAUGGGCACAGCAGGUUUUACCCUUCUGGGGACACAAAAGCAUCAGUGAGGUUGGCAGGAAUGGUUGAACCUGCAGGGCUUGCUUCCUGUG
This 1134-nucleotide long non-coding RNA is filed under the name Cricetulus griseus (Chinese hamster). Its description in RNAcentral is "lncRNA (ENSCGRG00015035282.1)". Lineage: Eukaryota; Metazoa; Chordata; Mammalia; Rodentia; Cricetidae. The record is from RNAcentral.